CUGAUUGAGAUUUUAACACGAAGUAGGUGGCGAACGGGUGAGUAACACGUGGGUAACCUGCCCAGAAGUAGGGGAUAACACCUGGAAACAGAUGCUAAUACCGUAUAACAGAGAAAACCGCAUGGUUUUCUUUUGAAAGAUGGCUCUGCUAUCACUUCUGGAUGGACCCGCGGCGUAUUAGCUAGUUGGUGAGGUAAAGGCUCACCAAGGCAGUGAUACGUAGCCGACCUGAGAGGGUAAUCGGCCACAUUGGGACUGAGACACGGCCCAGACUCCUACGGGAGGCAGCAGUAGGGAAUCUUCCACAAUGGACGCAAGUCUGAUGGAGCAACGCCGCGUGAGUGAAGAAGGGUUUCGGCUCGUAAAGCUCUGUUGUUAAAGAAGAACGUGGGUAAGAGUAACUGUUUACCCAGUGACGGUAUUUAACCAGAAAGCCACGGCUAACUACGUGCCAGCAGCCGCGGUAAUACGUAGGUGGCAAGCGUUAUCCGGAUUUAUUGGGCGUAAAGCGAGCGCAGGCGGUCUUUUAAGUCUAAUGUGAAAGCCUUCGGCUCAACCGAAAAAGUGCAUUGGAAACUGGGAGACUUGAGUGCAGAAGAGGACAGUGGAACUCCAUGUGUAGCGGUGAAAUGCGUAGAUAUAUGGAAGAACACCAGUGGCGAAGGCGGCUGUCUGGUCUGCAACUGACGCUGAGGCUCGAAAGCAUGGGUAGCGAACAGGAUUAGAUACCCUGGUAGUCCAUGCCGUAAACGAUGAUUACUAAGUGUUGGAGGGUUCCCGCCCUUCAGUGCUGCAGCUAACGCAUUAAGUAAUCCCCCUGGGGAGUACGACCGCAAGGUUGAAACUCAAAAGAAUUGACGGGCCCCC
RNAcentral lists this ribosomal RNA (867 nucleotides) under Pediococcus pentosaceus. Its description in RNAcentral is "bacterial SSU rRNA". It matches the Rfam family "Bacterial small subunit ribosomal RNA", at positions 68 to 922 of the family's 1533-position model. The record is from RNAcentral. Lineage: Bacteria; Bacillati; Bacillota; Bacilli; Lactobacillales; Lactobacillaceae.